GAUGAAGAACGCAGUGAAAUGCGAUAAGUAGUGUGAAUUGCAGAAUUCAGUGAAUCAUCGAAUCUUUGAACGCACAUUGCGCCCCAUGGUAUUCCGUGGGGCAUGCCUGUUCGAGCGUCAUUUACCCCCUCAAGCUCCGCUUGGUGUUGGGCGUCUGUCCCGCUUCGCGCGCGGACUCGCCCCAAAGGUAUUGGCAGCGGUCGUGCCAGCUUCUCGCGCAGCACAUUGCGCUUCUCGAGGCACCGGUGGGCCCGCGUCCAUCAAGCUCACCCCCCCAGUUUGACCUCGGAUCAGGUAGGGAUACCCGCUGAACUUAAACAUAUCAAUAAGCGGAGGA
This 337-nucleotide unclassified non-coding RNA is filed under the name soil metagenome. RNAcentral describes it as "partial contains 5.8S ribosomal RNA, internal transcribed spacer 2, and large subunit ribosomal RNA". The stretch from base 1 to 120 matches the Rfam family "5.8S ribosomal RNA", at positions 35 to 154 of the family's 154-position model. The record is from RNAcentral.